RNAcentral lists this ribosomal RNA (426 nucleotides) under uncultured bacterium. Its description in RNAcentral is "bacterial SSU rRNA". It matches the Rfam family "Bacterial small subunit ribosomal RNA", at positions 354 to 796 of the family's 1533-position model. The record is from RNAcentral.
AUCGGGAAUCUUGCACAAUGGACGAAAGUCUGAUGCAGCGACGCCGCGUGAAGGAUGAAGGUCUUCGGAUUGUAAACUUCUUUUACACAGUAGCAAGUUAUGAGCACUGUGGGAAUAAGGGACUCCUAACUUCGUGCCAGCAGGAGCGGUGAUACGAAGGUCCCAAGCGUUAUCCGGAUUUACUGGGCGUAAAGAGAUACGUAGGUGUCUUGUUAAGUUACUCGUCAAAGACCACAGCUUAACUGUGGGAAGGCAAGUAAUACUGGCAGGAUUGAGAGAGGUAGGGGAAGGAGGAACAUCCGGUGGAGCAGUAAAAUGCGUUGAUAUCGGAUGGAACACCAGCAGCGAAAGCGUCCUUCUGGCCCUUUUCUGACACUAAGGUUCGAAAGCGUGGGUAGCGAAACGGAUUAGAAACCCCGGUAGUCC